GAGAACCUCCCGGACCCCACUCUGUUCCUGGGGAUUCGCUCUUCCCACCAGAGCACCGCCAGACCAUCCUUAGGUGGGAUUUGUUGUUGCCAUCACUCUUGUUGGAUGUCCAAUGGGAGCACCCAGGGCCGACAGGAGUGGCAGGCACAGGACCAGCCCUGCAUACAAGCUUGCUGAAUGACGAGCGAACAGAUAAUUAUUCUGGACCACAUUAGUGGUCGAAUCCCAGAAUGUGUCUGGACACACAAAUAAAUACCACCUACCACUCGUGACAGUACUUUGCCCUUCCGAAGUACAAGCUCAGGCAGAUCUCCAAGUCCUUUCAAGGUCAAGGCUUUCCUGAAAGGAAAGAUUAAAACUCAGAACAAACCAA
Long non-coding RNA from Felis catus (domestic cat), 373 nucleotides. RefSeq lists it as uncharacterized. Lineage: Eukaryota; Metazoa; Chordata; Mammalia; Carnivora; Felidae. The record is from RefSeq and is a predicted model, not a curated record. The transcript has 3 exons.